AAACUCAUCAUAGAUACCAGGACUAAAUUUAGUAUAUACGCCAGACGCGCGUCUCGUCUACAAAAGACUCAUCAGUGACGCUCGAAUCCAAAAAAGUUAGAAAUGCCAAAUAAAGUACGAAGUUGAAGAGCAUUGAGGACCAAAAUUCCCAAAAGUUUUGCCAAAUACAGCUAAGGUAAUCUAUGCCUGAGGAAGAAAAGCCUUAGUAUUUCAAAAAAUUCAAACAUUUGUAAACAGUAAAUCCAUAAAUAUAACCAUAUCAAUGACAAUUCAUGUCAGCACAAAAAGUGCUGACUACUGGGCUUGUGAUACCCUCGGGGAAACAAAUCUCCACCAGCAGUGGCAUCGACCCAGUGGUUGAAAAUAAACUCCUCAUAGAUACCAGGACUAAAUUUAGUAUAUACGCCAGACGCGCGUCUUGUCUACAAAAGACUCAUCAGUGACGCUCGAAUCCAAAAAAGUUAAAAAUGCCAAAUAAAGUACGAAGUUGAAGAGCAUUGAG
RNAcentral lists this long non-coding RNA (502 nucleotides) under Mytilus galloprovincialis (Mediterranean mussel). The record is from RNAcentral. Lineage: Eukaryota; Metazoa; Mollusca; Bivalvia; Mytilida; Mytilidae.